RNAcentral lists this ribosomal RNA (495 nucleotides) under Triticum aestivum (bread wheat). RNAcentral describes it as "partial small subunit ribosomal RNA". Lineage: Eukaryota; Viridiplantae; Streptophyta; Magnoliopsida; Poales; Poaceae. The record is from RNAcentral.
AUGGAAACGGCUCCAACAGUCAUCGUCCAAAUCCUUCAGCGCGAGAGGAGCAGCACGCAUUGGAGGAUGAUGCGGCUAGGGAUGCGUGGGUGGCUGAUGACGGUGGCCACGCUUUUCGUCGGCUUCGCGUUCCAAGCCAUGAUGCACCCGCCUGAUUGGAUGACCAACUAUGAUCACUUUCUCGUCUUCAGUGCUGGACGUCGUACCACAUUUAUUUUCAUGGCAUCAAACGCGGCUACUUUUGGCACAGGACUGGUUCUAGUGGCAAAUCUGCUGCUGAUGAAAAAGGCCCCGUCUAAAGGUGAAGUGCUUGGCACAAGAAUCAUGGUGAUGGCUCUCGCCACUAGUGUGACAUGCACGUUCAUCUUUUCUAUCUCCAGAGAAGCAAAAGUUGUUUUAUGGCUCCUUGGUUAUCUCGUAGGAUACGCUGUUGUGGGCUUCCUCAUUCUCAAAAUCAUAACAUGGGGAAUGUACGGUGGAAGAAGGUCCAGGUAG